This 411-nucleotide ribosomal RNA is filed under the name uncultured prokaryote. RNAcentral describes it as "bacterial SSU rRNA". It matches the Rfam family "Bacterial small subunit ribosomal RNA", at positions 505 to 918 of the family's 1533-position model. The record is from RNAcentral.
GUGCCAGCAGCCGCGGUAGUACGGAGGGUGCAAGCGUUAUCCGGAAUUACUGGGUUUAAAGGGUGCGUAGGCGGCCUGGUAAGUCUGGGGUGAAAGUUUGCCGCUCAACGGUAAAAUUGCCUUUGAUACUGUCAGGCUUGAAUAGGCGCGAGGCAGGCGGAAUGUGACAUGUAGCGGUGAAAUGCAUAGAUAUGUCAUAGAACACCAAUUGCGAAGGCAGCUUGCCAGAGCCUUAUUGACGCUGAGGCACGAAAGCGUGGGGAGCGAACAGGAUUAGAUACCCUGGUAGUCCACGCCCUAAACGAUGCUUACUCGACGUGCGGUUUUCGGAUUGUGCGUCCAAGCGAAAGCGCUAAGUAAGCCACCUGGGGAGUACGACCGCAAGGUUGAAACUUAAAGGAAUUGGCGGGG